Molecule: ribosomal RNA, 492 nt
Filed under: uncultured bacterium
Lineage: Bacteria
Description: partial 16S ribosomal RNA
Rfam family: Bacterial small subunit ribosomal RNA
Source: RNAcentral
AUUGAACGCUGGCGGCAUGCUUUACACAUGCAAGUCGAACGGUAACAGGCCUUCGGGUGCUGACGAGUGGCGCACGGGUGAGUAAUGCAUCGGAACGUACCCAGAGGUGGGGGAUAACGCAGCGAAAGCUGUGCUAAUACCGCAUGUGAUCUGAGGAUGAAAGCGGGGGACCGAGCAGCAAUGUUUGGCCUCGCGCCUUUGGAGCGGCCGAUGUCGGAUUAGCUAGUUGGUGGGGUAAAGGCCUACCAAGGCGACGAUCCGUAGCUGGUCUGAGAGGACGAUCAGUCACACUGGAACUGAGACACGGCCCAGACUCCUACGGGAGGCAGCAGUGGGGAAUUUUGGACAAUGGGCGCAAGCCUGAUCCAGCCAUGCCGCGUGCGGGAAGAAGGCCUUCGGGUUGUAAACCGCUUUUGGCAGGAACGAAACGGUGUCCGCUAAUACCGGGCGCUAAUGACGGUACCUGCAGAAUAAGCACCGGCUAACUACGUG